CUACGGGACGCUGCAGUGAGGAAUAUUGCAUAAUGGGGGGAACCCUGAUGCAGCAACGCCGCGUGGAGGAUGACGCAUUUCGGUGUGUAAACUCCUUUUAUAUGUCAAGAAAAUGACGGUAGCAUAUGAAUAAGCACCGGCUAACUCCGUGCCAGCAGCCGCGGUAAUACGGAGGGUGCAAGCGUUACUCGGAAUCACUGUGGCGUAAAGUGCGCGUAGGCGGGUUGGAAAGUCAGGGGUGAAAUCCUACAGCUUAACUGUAGAACUGCACUUGAAACUUCUAAUCUAGAGUAUGGGAGGGGGAGAUGGAAUUAGUGGUGUAGGGGUAAUAGCCGUAGAUAUCACUAGGAAUACCUAAAGCGAAGGCGAUCUCCUGGAACAUUACUGACGCUAAGGCGUGAAAGCGUGGGGAGCAAACAGGAUUAGAUACCCCAGUAGUC
RNAcentral lists this ribosomal RNA (440 nucleotides) under uncultured bacterium. Its description in RNAcentral is "partial 16S ribosomal RNA". It matches the Rfam family "Bacterial small subunit ribosomal RNA", at positions 339 to 795 of the family's 1533-position model. The record is from RNAcentral.